GCAGCCGCCGCGGUAAUACGUAGGUGGCAAGCGUUGUCCGGAAUUAUUGGGCGUAAAGGGCUCGCAGGCGGUUUCUUAAGUCUGAUGUGAAAGCCCCCGGCUCAACCGGGGAGGGUCAUUGGAAACUGGGAAACUUGAGUGCAGAAGAGGAGAGUGGAAUUCCACGUGUAGCGGUGAAAUGCGUAGAGAUGUGGAGGAACACCAGUGGCGAAGACGACUCUCUGGUCUGUAACUGACGCUGAGGAGCGAAAGCGUGGGGAGCGAACAGGAUUAGAUACCCCCGUAGUCCCUGUCUCUUAUAC
RNAcentral lists this ribosomal RNA (302 nucleotides) under uncultured bacterium. Its description in RNAcentral is "partial 16S ribosomal RNA". It matches the Rfam family "Bacterial small subunit ribosomal RNA", at positions 508 to 807 of the family's 1533-position model. The record is from RNAcentral.